GGGGGCCUUGGUCACACUCAGAGCUGACGUCCAGUGCGGCCCUUGCUGAGGACUCGAGCGAACAGAUCUCUACCCAGCCCCCGCCCCACGCGCACCCAGCCUGGGUCAGCUCGCCCUGCCCGCAGCCACGCAGCUGGUGGCUAAGCGCGGGCUCCGGGUUCAGGCUGCCUUGAGCUCUGUUGGUUCCCUCUGAAAGUGCUGAUAAUGAUAGCAGGAGCACCAUUGAAGGAGAAUUAGACAAACUGGAGUCUACUGAGAUGAGGCUGUUGGGAAUGGCCCUGGUACCACAUCCUGAGCAGGGAUGGCCGAUGGAAUGGGGAGAAGACUCAGGUGGGGCUUGAGUGUGUCCUCUGAUGACUGAA
RNAcentral lists this long non-coding RNA (362 nucleotides) under Homo sapiens (human). RNAcentral describes it as "non-protein coding lnc-STK35-4:7". The record is from RNAcentral. Lineage: Eukaryota; Metazoa; Chordata; Mammalia; Primates; Hominidae.